This 951-nucleotide ribosomal RNA is filed under the name Haemophilus influenzae. RNAcentral describes it as "partial 23S ribosomal RNA". It matches the Rfam family "Bacterial large subunit ribosomal RNA", at positions 697 to 1536 of the family's 2925-position model. Lineage: Bacteria; Pseudomonadati; Pseudomonadota; Gammaproteobacteria; Pasteurellales; Pasteurellaceae. The record is from RNAcentral.
UAGUUGCAAGGUAUAGACCCGAAACCCGGUGAUCUAGCCAUGGGCAGGUUGAAGGUUGGGUAACACUAACUGGAGGACCGAACCGACUAAUGUUGAAAAAUUAGCGGAUGACUUGUGGCUGGGGGUGAAAGGCCAAUCAAACCGGGAGAUAGCUGGUUCUCCCCGAAAUCUAUUUAGGUAGAGCCUUGAGGUGACACCUUUGGGGGUAGAGCACUGUUUCGGCUAGGGGUCCAUCCCGGAUUACCAACCCGAUGCAAACUACGAAUACCAAAGAGUGAUACUCAGGAGACACACGGCGGGUGCUAACGUCCGUCGUGGAGAGGGAAACAACCCAGACCGCCAGCUAAGGUCCCCAAGUCUAUAUUAAGUGGGAAACGAAGUGGGAAGGCUUAGACAGCUAGGAUGUUGGCUUAGAAGCAGCCAUCAUUUAAAGAAAGCGUAAUAGCUCACUAGUCGAGUCGGCCUGCGCGGAAGAUGUAACGGGGCUGAAAUAUAGCACCGAAGCUGCGGCAUCAGGCGUAUCACUAAUACGCCUUACGAUUAACAAGCUAGAAUGGCGCGAAGCGGCAUGAAAGGUUGUUCAAGCAACCCGAACGUUGAGUCGGGGUAUUUUUGAAGUAAGGAUUAUUAGUGAUACGCCUGUUGGGUAGGGGAGCGUUGUGUAAGCGGAUGAAGGUUAAUCGAGAGGUUAGCUGGACGUAUCACAAGUGCGAAUGCUGACAUAAGUAACGAUAAAACGGGUGAAAAACCCGUUCGCCGGAAGACCAAGGGUUCCUGUCCAACGUUAAUCGGGGCAGGGUGAGUCGGCUCCUAAGGCGAGGCUGAAAAGCGUAGUCGAUGGGAAACAGGUUAAUAUUCCUGUACUUGGUAAAGCUGCGAUGUGGGGACGGAGUAGGUUAGGUUAUCGCACUGUUGGAUAUGUGCGUUUAAGUUGGUAGGUGGGAAGUUUAG